UACCUGCAGCUCGAGUGGUGAUCGUUAUUAUUGGGCCUAAAACGUCCGUAGCCGGUCUUGUAAAUGCCUGGGUAAAUCGUAUGGCUUAACCAUACGAAUUCUGGGUAGACUGUUAGACUUGAGACCGGGAGAAGCUAGAGGUACUCCUGGGGUAGAGGUGAAAUUCUGUAAUCCUAGGGGGACCACCAGUGGCGAAGGCGUCUAGCUAGAACGGGUCUGACGGUGAGGGACGAAGCCCUGGGGCGCAAACGGG
Molecule: ribosomal RNA, 253 nt
Filed under: uncultured bacterium
Lineage: Bacteria
Description: partial 16S ribosomal RNA
Rfam family: Archaeal small subunit ribosomal RNA
Source: RNAcentral